Molecule: ribosomal RNA, 204 nt
Filed under: uncultured bacterium
Lineage: Bacteria
Description: partial 16S ribosomal RNA
Rfam family: Bacterial small subunit ribosomal RNA
Source: RNAcentral
AUUGUAGUCUGCAACUCGACUACAUGAAGUUGGAAUCGCUAGUAAUCGCGAAUCAGCAUGUCGCGGUGAAUACGUUCCCGGGUCUUGUACACACCGCCCGUCACACCAUGGGAGUCAGUAACGCCCGAAGUCAGUGACCCAACCAAACGGAGGGAGCUGCCGAAGGCGGGACCGAUAACUGGGGUGAAGUCGUAACAAGGUAGC